Brachypodium distachyon (stiff brome) is the source of this 143-nucleotide non-coding RNA. The record is from Rfam. NCBI's taxonomy places the organism in Eukaryota, Viridiplantae, Streptophyta, Magnoliopsida, Poales, Poaceae.
UUAUUACUCCCUCCGUCCAACAAAGGAUGUCUCAACUUUGACUAAAUUUAAAUGCAUAUAUACACUAUACACUAAGUCAUGUCUAGAUACAUUCAAAUUUUGAGAAACUUGAGACAUCUUUUGUUGGACGGAGGGAGUAUUUG